CACGCCGUAAACGAUGUCGAUUUGGCGGCUGUGUCCUUGAGACGUGGCUUCCGGAGCUAACGCGUUAAAUCGACCGCCUGGGGAGUACGGCCGCAAGGUUAAAACUCAAAUGAAUUGACGGGGGCCCGCACAAGCGGUGGAGCAUGUGGUUUAAUUCGAUGCAACGCGAAGAACCUUACCUGGCCUUGACAUGUCUGGAAUCCUGUAGAGAUACGGGAGUGCCUUCGGGAAGCAGAACACAGGUGC
RNAcentral lists this ribosomal RNA (246 nucleotides) under uncultured bacterium. RNAcentral's name for it is "partial 16S ribosomal RNA". It matches the Rfam family "Bacterial small subunit ribosomal RNA", at positions 796 to 1041 of the family's 1533-position model. The record is from RNAcentral.